RNAcentral lists this ribosomal RNA (460 nucleotides) under uncultured bacterium. RNAcentral describes it as "partial 16S ribosomal RNA". It matches the Rfam family "Bacterial small subunit ribosomal RNA", at positions 338 to 795 of the family's 1533-position model. The record is from RNAcentral.
CCUACGGGAGGCAGCAGUGAGGAAUAUUGGUCAAUGGGCUUACGCCUGAACCAGCCAAGUCGCGUGAGGGAUGACUGCCCUAUGGGUUGUAAACCUCUUUUGUCAGGGAGCAACACGGUCCACGCGUAGCCGUACUGAGAGUACCUGCAGAAAAAGCCUCGGCUAACUCCGUGCCAGCAGACGCGGUAAUACGGAGGAUGCGAGCGUUAUCCGGAUUUAUUGGGUUUAAAGGGUGCGUAGGCGGAAUGCCAAGUCAGCGGUAAAAGCGCGGGGCUCAACCUCGGUGCGCCGUUGAAACUGGCGUUCUUGAGUGGGAGAGAAGUAGGCGGAAUGCGUGGUGUAGCGGUGAAAUGCAUAGAUAUCACGCAGAACGCCGAUUGCGAAGGCAGCAUACCGGCGCCCAACUGACGCUGAAGCACGAAAGCGUGGGUAUCGAACAGGAUUAGAUACCCUGGUAGUC